RNAcentral lists this ribosomal RNA (405 nucleotides) under uncultured bacterium. RNAcentral's name for it is "partial 16S ribosomal RNA". It matches the Rfam family "Bacterial small subunit ribosomal RNA", at positions 28 to 526 of the family's 1533-position model. The record is from RNAcentral.
GACGAACGCUGGCGGCGUGCUUAACACAUGCAAGUCGAACGAGUGGCGAACGGGUGAGUAACACGGGGGUGACCUGCCCUGCAAUUCGGGAUAAGCCUGGGAAACUGGGUCUAAUACCGGCUAGUGUGGGAUGGGCCCGCGGCCUAUCAGCUUGUUGGUGGGGUAAUGGCUACCAAGGCGCGACGGGUAGCCGGCCUGAGAGGGUGGACGGCCACAUUGGGACUGGGACACGGCCCAGACUCCUACGGGAGGCAGCAGUGGGGAAUAUUGCACAAUGGGCGCAAGCCUGAUGCAGCCAUGCCGCGUGUGUGAAGAAGGCCUUCGGGUUGUAAAGCACUUUCAGCGAGGAGGCGUUACUCGCAGAAGAAGCACCGGCUAACUCCGUGCCAGCAGCCGCGGUAAUUC